CUGGUGAGCUGGUGCGAUAGCUAGCGUACAUUCAGUACAAACAUCGUCGCUUUAAGGCACAUAUUCGUGUUGAUAAAUUGUCAGAGGUUAGAAGUGGACAGGAUUUCAAGAUGAAUUUGAUAAUUUUUUGUACCAUCAUAAUCCUCCUUUCAGCGACAUUGCCGUCAUUAUCGAAGAAACCUUGCGGCUAUUUAAGUUAUUUAUGCGGCCCACAUCGUCCUCCUUGUUGUAGGGGAUUUCAAUGCAUCAGAAAAGGAAGAUUCUUCUUCUGCAUAGACCAGUGGGAAGAUCAACCGUUCUGAAAUUCUGAAUCACUGCUCAAGAUUGAAUAGGACAAAGUUAUCUUCUUCGACUACAUAACCAAACUGUAUUUCAUUAAUGUGUUUUGAUCUGGGGCUAAGGGUUGAUAAAAAAAUAAAGGUUAUGAAAAUUUAAA
This is a long non-coding RNA of Homalodisca vitripennis (glassy-winged sharpshooter), 436 nucleotides long. RefSeq lists it as uncharacterized. The record is from RefSeq and is a predicted model, not a curated record. The transcript is spliced from 3 exons. Lineage: Eukaryota; Metazoa; Arthropoda; Insecta; Hemiptera; Cicadellidae.